AUGGCUUACACUUGGGUAAUUUUAUUUCCUCAGAUCUUGUACCAGUUCAUGGCGUCAACAGAAGUUAGUACGGAAGCGAGCAGCCCCAGCAAAGAUCCAGAUUUUUCUCCUACCGACCAAGAGACGAGCACAAGCAGUGAGGAAGAUUCAGAAGACCAAGAGACGAGCACAAACAGUGUGGAAGAUGCAGAAGAUAUCGCAGAAGAUAUUCCGAGCACCAAUGACCAAGAGACAAGAACACAAAGUGGAGAAGAUGCAAAACUUAUUCAUCUCAGAUACAGAGGUCAGCCCAAUGUUAUACAUGACCUGUACUCAGAAAUGAGUCCUGAACAGAUUAGUGAUAUGAUGCAAACAGAAUAUCAUGGCACCCUCAAUGUAGGGAUGAACUCUACCCUACCCCAUGAUUUGGUUUUGUGGUUGAUUAGAAGAGUAGACACUAAAACAAAAAAACUAAUUCUGAAGAAGGUUGAUAAGGAUGUUGUAAUUGACUUGACGGAGGCUGCAGCAAAGGUAUUUUCGCUACGGAAUGAAGGGAAAACAGUUCCAAUAGACCCUUUCGCUGCUGGAAGAGAAAGUAAGAAGGGGCAAGAUAUAUGUGUGGAGAGUCCGAGAAAGCAUAGUAGAAAGGGUCAAAUGCCGAAGCAGCACUACUUUAUGAAGAUGAAAAAAUAUAGGAAGUCGAAGAAAGCCACCUAUAGGAUCUUUAAGAAUGCAAUAUUUUCUGGCCUCUUUGUCCCCAACAGUUCAAAAAAUGUAGAUCAAAGGUUAAGACAUAUGUUGAAAAACGUUGAGGACUGGAACUGGCUAGAGUUAUAG
Molecule: ribosomal RNA, 816 nt
Filed under: Triticum aestivum (bread wheat)
Lineage: Eukaryota; Viridiplantae; Streptophyta; Magnoliopsida; Poales; Poaceae
Description: partial small subunit ribosomal RNA
Source: RNAcentral